This 331-nucleotide unclassified non-coding RNA is filed under the name soil metagenome. RNAcentral's name for it is "partial contains 5.8S ribosomal RNA, internal transcribed spacer 2, and large subunit ribosomal RNA". The stretch from base 1 to 120 matches the Rfam family "5.8S ribosomal RNA", at positions 35 to 154 of the family's 154-position model. The record is from RNAcentral.
GAUGAAGAACGUAGUGAAAUGCGAUAAGUAAUGUGAAUUGCAGAAUUCAGUGAAUCAUCGAAUCUUUGAACGCACAUUGCGCCCCCUGGUAUUCCGGUGGGCAUGCCUGUUCGAGCGUCAUUUCACCACUCAAGCCUCGCUUGGUAUUGGGCAACGCGGUCCGCCGCGUGCCUCAAAUCGACCGGCUGGGUCUUCUGUCCCCUAAGCGUUGUGGAAACUAUUCGCUAAAGGGUGUUCGGGAGGCUACGCCGUAAAACAACCCCAUUUCUAAGGUUGACCUCGGAUCAGGUAGGGAUACCCGCUGAACUUAAGCAUAUCAAUAAGCGGAGGA